UUGAGUCGUGUGGUAGCGGAGCGUCGAGCGUGCAGCGAAGCGGCGGGACAACCCAGCCGUGGAGCGCGUUCAGUGCGAAUGUUGGCAUGAGUAGCGAAUGAGGGGUGGGAACCCCCUCCGCCGUAUGUCCAAGGGUUCCUGGGCGAGGCCAAUCCUCCCAGGGUGAGUCGGGAGCUGAGGCGAGGCCGAGAGGCGUAGUCGAUGCACAACAGGUUGAUAUUCCAGUACCACCAUGUUCGCGUCCGUCCCAAUACUCUGUUGCUAAGGGGCUGUGUUGACUUCGGUCAACGCGAACCGACCCACAUUGUUGCGGGAAGCUGUAGGGGGACGCAGGAAGGUAGAUGAACCCGGUGAAUGGUAGAACCGGGGUAAGCGUGUAGGAGGAGGACCAGGUAAAUCCGGGCCUCAUAAACCCUGAGACGUGAUACCGAGCCGCUUCAGGCGAAGUCAUUGAUCCUAUGCUGCCUAGAAAAGCCCAGCAGCGAGUUGACAUGGUGCCCGUACCCCAAACCAACACAGGUGGACAGGUAGAGCAUACCAAGGCGAGUGGGAUAACUAUGGUUAAGGAACUCGGCAAAUUGCCUCCGUAACUUCGGGAGAAGGAGGACCCCAGUAGCGUGAUGAGACUUGCUCUCUGAGCGUGAAGGGGUGGCACAAAAUUGAGGGAAGCGACUGUUUACCAAAAACACAGCAGCGUGCUAAGCCGUAAGGCGCUGUAUACGCUGUGACUCCUGCCCGGUGCUGGAAGGUUACGGGGAUGGGUUAGUCCUUCGGGACGAAGCUCUGAACCUAAGCCCCAGUAAACGGCGGCCGUAACUAUAACGGUCCUAAGGUAGCGAAAUUCCUUGUCGGGUAAGUUCCGACCUGCACGAAUGGAGUAACGACUUCCCUACUGUCUCAACCAUAGACCCAGCGAAAUUGAAGUACGAGUAAAGAUGCUCGUUAGCUGCAGAAGGACGGAAAGACCCCGUGGACCUUUACUAUAACUUGAUGUUGUGUUUUGUCAUAUGUUGUGUAGGAUAGGUGGGAGACUUGGAAGCAUGGACGCUAGUCUGAGUGGAGUCAUCGUUGAAAUACCACCCUGCAUAUGGUGAGGCUCUAACCUAGACCCGUUAUCCGGGUUGGGGACAGCGUCAGGCGGGUAGUUUAACUGGGGCGGUUGCCUCCUAAAGAGUAACGGAGGCGCCCAAAGGUUCCCUCAGCCUGGUUGGCAAUCAGGCGUUGAGUGCAAUGGCAAAAGGGAGCUUGACUGCGAGACCUACAAGUCGAGCAGGAGCGAAAGCUGGGCAUAGUGAUCCGGCGGUUGCGUGUGGAAGCGCCGUCGCUCAACGGAUAAAAGGUACCCCGGGGAUAACAGGCUAAUCUUGCCCAAGCGUCCAUAGCGACGGCAAGGUUUGGCACCUCGAUGUCGGCUCAUCGCAUCCUGGGGCUGAAGCAGGUCCCAAGGGUUGGGCUGUUCGCCCAUUAAAGCGGUACGCGAGCUGGGUUCAGAACGUCGUGAGACAGUUCGGUCCCUAUCCUCUGCAGCCGGAGGUGAAUUGAGGAAAGCUGUCCCUAGUACC
Molecule: ribosomal RNA, 1562 nt
Filed under: metagenome
Description: bacterial LSU rRNA
Rfam family: Bacterial large subunit ribosomal RNA
Source: RNAcentral